CCUCAUGAAAAAGUAGCUCAACAAAUUAAAGAGUCAUUAUCAUAAUAAAUGCUUAAGCAUAAAUUUUGUCAAUCCCAAUUAUCCUCCUACCCUACCCAACAAGAUUUGGACCACAAAGAUAUCUCUGAAGAGGUAUGAAAUCUAUAAUAAUUCCAAGUGCCAAACACAAAUACCAACUCAUGAACCACAAAUACCAAUAUUAUACAAAAAAUAUUAACUUAGAGACUAACCCAUUAUACUAACUUUAUACAAAAAAAUAUUAACAUUAGAGACUAACAUUAUACGAAAUAAUUCUAAGUGCCAAACACAAAUACAAACAUUAUACAAAAAAUAUUAACAUUAGAG
This 345-nucleotide long non-coding RNA is filed under the name Panax ginseng (ginseng). RNAcentral describes it as "long non-coding RNA (PGIN_LNC012821)". The record is from RNAcentral. Lineage: Eukaryota; Viridiplantae; Streptophyta; Magnoliopsida; Apiales; Araliaceae.